RNAcentral lists this ribosomal RNA (488 nucleotides) under uncultured bacterium. RNAcentral describes it as "bacterial SSU rRNA". It matches the Rfam family "Bacterial small subunit ribosomal RNA", at positions 28 to 507 of the family's 1533-position model. The record is from RNAcentral.
GACGAACGCUGGCGGCGUGGAUUAGGCAUGCAAGUCGAACGGUAGGAUACCUUCGGGUAUCUGAGAGUGGCGAACGGGUGAGUAACACGUAGGUGAUCUACCCUCAAGAUUGGGACAACCCAGGGAAACUUGGGCUAAUACCGGAUGAAAGCAGCAGUGAUGUUGUUUAAAAGGUGGCGUAAGCUGCCGUUUGGGGAUGAGCCUGCGCUCUAUUAGUUAGUUGGCGGGGUAAAGGCCCACCAAGGCGAUGAUAGAUAGGCGGCCUUAACGGGUGGUCGCCCACACUGGGAUUGAGAUACGGCCCAGACUCCUACGGGAGGCAGCAGUCGAGAAUAGUCUACAAUGGCCGAAAGGCUGAUAGUGCGACGCCGCGUGAACGAAGAAGCCCUUCGGGGUGUAAAGUUCUUUUAUAUGUGAGCAGUGCUUUCUAUGUGAACAGCAUGGGGAGAGAGAUAUUAGCAUAUGAAUAAGCAACGGCUAACUCCGUG